This 98-nucleotide transfer RNA is filed under the name Deinococcus aerolatus. RNAcentral describes it as "tRNA-Gly". Lineage: Bacteria; Thermotogati; Deinococcota; Deinococci; Deinococcales; Deinococcaceae. The record is from RNAcentral.
GCGCCGGCGUGGGGUAGCGGUUGCCCAGGCUGCUCUGCCGGAACAGUUCCAGCGUGCGGGCCAGCGCAAUGGCGCAGUUCUGGGCGGCGGCGCGCGCU